Molecule: ribosomal RNA, 410 nt
Filed under: uncultured Flavobacteriia bacterium
Lineage: Bacteria; Pseudomonadati; Bacteroidota; Flavobacteriia
Description: bacterial SSU rRNA
Rfam family: Bacterial small subunit ribosomal RNA
Source: RNAcentral
AAUGGACGAAAGUCUGAUCCAGCUAUGCCGCGUGCAGGAUGACGGCCUAUGGGUUGUAAACUGCUUUUAUACAGGAAGAAAAAUCCGACGUGUCGGAUCUUGACGGUACUGUAAGAAUAAGGAUCGGCUAACUCCGUGCCAGCAGCCGCGGUAAUACGGAGGAUCCAAGCGUUAUCCGGAAUCAUUGGGUUUAAAGGGUCCGCAGGCGGUUUUUUAAGUCAGAGGUGAAAUCCUACAGCUCAACUGUAGAAUUGCCUUUGAUACUGAAAGACUUGAGUUAUUGUGAAGUGGUUAGAAUGCGUGGUGUAGCGGUGAAAUGCAUAGAUAUCACACAGAAUACCAAUUGCGAAGGCAGAUCACUAACAAUUAACUGUCGCUCAGGGACGAAAGCGUGGGUAGCGAACAGGAUU